GGCUGAGGCAAGAAGAAAGUGUGUGAGAAGAAAAGGGAGGAGAGGGCGCAUUGCUCAGUCACGUCUGACAGAGGACUGCUCUUCCUGCUCCCUCCACCCCUGUUCUCUGCCUCUUCCAAUCUGGAGCUAUAGGUCAAGAAGGAAAAACAGAAGGUGUCUGGGCGAGAAAAGAAGACUUGCUGGGACAUCUCCGAGUCUUUGAACAGCCCAACGGUGGUGACUCUCAGCUGGGUGCAGUGGCUCACUGAGCCGCCAGGGUGGAAUACAGGGCGAGGAAGAGCCCAGAGGGGAUCCUUGAGGACACUGGGCUGGAAGGUGGAGAAAAGAAAGAACACUGGCCACUUUCUUAAACGGCACCAUUUCAAACAAAUGUGCAAGAUGUGGAUGUGGUGAGGACAGCUGAGAAAAGAGCACAGAGAUGAAAUCAGAAGCUUCUUGAACUUCCUUCUCCCUCUCCUGCCAACAUAGUAGAGAGCUUUUAUAUAGAAUUUCAAGUGCUGUCCUUUAGCCCUUUGUUAACUCGUUCUGAACAUGAAGGCAAGCACUCCUGGAAAGGUCAUUUAAAACACGGACGACCUCCUUCACUCUAGCCUCCUCACACCUUGCCAGCCUGAACAGCAAAUCACAAAUUAUUUCUUGUUGUUAUUGUUGGAGCGCAUCUCUCAAUGGUAUCGCCGAUGUGAGAGUCGAUGUCUUUUUUAAAAGUCAGACUGGCACGGGAGCAUUUGGGAUGAGCCCUCUUUUGUGUGUCUGCUUCAUUCCUUUGUUGGAGUUCUACAUUUUCUGUGUAUGGGAUUGAGGAAUCAUGGAAAAUUGCCACUUGUGUGAUAAAUUACUGUUUUCACCCAUCAAACUUCGAAAAUGCUCCAUAUGAGCCUUGCACACCAUUAUGUUGUCCCAUCUAGGACCCUUUGAAAACAGCAGGGUGCAUCUGGCUGAAAUUCAGUCAGGCGAUUAAAUUUAUUCAAGCUUGGUGAACUUGAGAGCUUUCAAAAGGAGAGGAGCUGAAGGGAUGAGAUUAUAGUCCUGACAGGGCUCUGGAAAGGUGUCUGACAUCUGACUGCUCCUAGUGAGGCAUGAUACCUAUUCCCAUUGAUUUGCAACAAAGUAUUCCUCAAUAAGUAUUUCCACUUAACAUUUCCUCUCAGGGAACCUGUGCAGUUGAAGAUAUUUACGAGUUGCUUUCAGCUUAAAAAUAAAUCACCUCUAAUUCCUCUAAGCGAAAUCAAUCAAAAACCUGUAAAAAAUGGACUGGUUGUUUGGUCGAUUCUGGCAGAAAAGUAAACAGCACUUCAGCUUUUCUCUGCCAUUAAGGCCUAAAUGGCCUAGAAAGUAAAUCAAUAUUUCUAGUCAGCCUUCUGGCUAUUGUUUAGCCAGUAGAUAUGGAUUUGCUCUGGUUUACUGCACUCCUUCGGGACUAACCUAUAAUCCUCCGAGAGGAAUAAUAAGUUCGUUAUCUAGUCCAGCUCUCUGUUGGACAUUUAAAUGGACCACAUCCAUCAGCAGCCCUUGUUAAAGUUAAAGGAUGAGGCCAUCCCAUUCUACCCCGUUUACGGUGAAACACUUCCAACACAGCGAGGGGGACGUUACAACUCACAGUUGUACUGGUUGGCAAAUGACCUAAAAACCCUGACUGGGGGUACAGGCAGUCAUUUAAGUGUGAGGAGGCAUUUAUCACUGCUGUUUCGAGAUAGGAAAUACUACUUACUCAUUUCUAAGUAAACUAGGAUAUUCCUAAAGCUACGUGCUGCAGGAUCGUUCUUUAGACCUCCUAAUCCUUGUCUAAUAUUUCUGUUUAAGUAUCGGUGUGAUUCAAAGCAGGAAAAGCUAGUCUCUGCUGCUAUAAACCAAAAUGCUUCCCUUUCUCCUUGUCGGCAAAUGGAAAUCUCUCACACUCUUACUCAUUUCACUUUAAUAAGUUGCUAUAAUAAUUUGAUAAUGACAUUCUUGAGGAUCUUGGAAGAAGAGAAUGUUGGGGAAAAGAUAAUUCCUUGAAGGAAUUAAUUUUCACUUGCCUUUUUCAACUUGAUGAACUGAUACUCUCUUUUAAGUUCCAUCCAUAUUUCCCAGAUUAAUAUGAGGAAGUUAUAAUGAAAUAAUAAUUUAUCUUUGAACUAUUUUAUACGCUUAAUUCUUAUGACAUUUUAUUGAUUUCUUGGUAAGAAACACAAAAAAAUGGAUGAAUUAUGAUUAUUUGGAACUUUCAAAUGUAGGUAUUUAUAGCUCACCAGACAUUUCUUCAACAAAAUGACAAUUAUGAUAAAACAAAUGAAAAAAAUUUUCGGUUAUUUCAUUGAGAUCUUUCUCAUAAUUUUACUUAAGUAAAAUUAUCACAAAAUUAUUGAAAAGGAGAGAUAUAAUUAAGUAAAAUAGCACAACAGAAUUUAGAUGGACUGUGUUUGCAAAAUAUAGUAAUUUAAGAAAAAAGGUGAUUUAAUUAAGCGAUAUUAACUUAGAGUAGUAAAAUGACUUGUUCUGUGGAGAGAAUUUUUGCUGUUUCCUUCUUUAAUCACUCAACUCUUCAAUUUCUGGGAAGUUUGUUUCAGCUUUAAACAGAUUAGAUCUUAAAUUAGAGAGAAAUUAAAUUUUUUGUAAUCUGUCACUGGGAAAAAUUAAAAGUUUUAAUUUAAUUUUAAUUAAAAUUAAAAAUCAAAAUUAAACUUAGUAUACACUAAUUUUAACAAUUUAUUAUCUCCACUGGCUCAUUAAAGGCAUUCUUAUGAUUAAAAUAAUAAAUUUAGUAAAAAUAUCACAUUAAUUUAUUUUAAGACUUCAAUUAAAUAUCAAUAUGUGGAGAUGUAUAGUUUUAUCUCUUUUGGUUUUUGCUGCAGUUUGAGUAAGUCUGUGGUCACAGCCUGACUCAGAGCUUGGUGCUGGCAAGCCAAGCCAACUAUCUCUACAGAGCUCAGAUCCUUCGUACUCUCCAUCCUUCCUGAGCGGUGAGGUUCCAGGGAAGAUAGAAGAUGUAACUUAAACUACCAUGCAACGAGGCUAUUUUUGUUUUUCAAAUAUGAUAUAUGAACACUUGGAAUUCAUACUUCUAAUUCUUUAGCAGUGAUUGCAAAAUGCUAACUGUAUUCUCAAGGUAACUUAAGAAACAUAUAUUGUUAGACUCUGCUAAUUGUACAAAUGAGAAUCACACAGAAAUAACUGAGCUUUUUUACAAAAUUGAGUUUUCAUGUAGGAUUACACUCUAAUAUCCUUGUUAAAAUAUUGUUUUAGUUAAUUUGUUUGAAAAUUUAAAUAAGAGCAAUAACUCAAAAAAUUCAUGUAUUUCCCAGAAGAACGCUUUAUAGGUAGCGUGAGGGAAAAAAAAAUACCUGGCCAUUUCUUGUUUGAUAAAAAACUUUUAGCAUAUGCUUUUGAUAUUGUCUGAUUUGAAAAUUUUUAAUGCAUAUAAAAUUUCUAACUUUUUAUUUGCUGCAUUUGUAUGCUGAUAUAUUUGAAAAACACCAAUUUAUAUAGAGAAUAAUGUUAUAUUGAUAGAGUUGAAUUUGCCUCUUGAAACCAUUUUAAGUUAUAAGAGUAUAGCCUUUGCCUGGAAAGUGUCACUAUUAGGCAACACUGCCCGUCAGCAAGAGGCUAGUUUACACCAUGAUGCCAUCAUCUGCCGAAGAAAAGCACUCAUCCCAUAUUUCUGCAUCAUAAUAAUUACCAGUGAAAUGGAACGGAGCAUGUAUUUAAAAUAUGAUUAUUGGGAAAAAUGUAUAAAUAAAUCAGUACGAAAAUGAAUGUAUAGGAAUAUAAAUUAACACUAUUACUUUGUCUCUGCAGCAAAAGAUCAGGCCAUUUUCAGUAGAUCACUACUCAGGUCUCACCAGGGCUGUGAGGAGCACUGUUAAAGUGAAAUCCCUGUGUGAGGCCGAUCUGGUGCCGCUGCCUGCCCUUAGGGAGUGGAGACUGGUCACAAAUAAAUAAUUUUGGUCAAAUCUUAUUGGAAGUUCGUAAUCCCCCUGGCAAAAAAGUGGUUCCGACUGAUACACAAUCACAAUGAAUAGAAUAAUAAUUCAAGGGUAUUUGAUCACAUUUAAGAGAUUAGAGAACCUUUAUUCUAUACAACACAGGAGACAACACUUCUGCAAAAGUAGCUAUACCCUACGUCAAGGCAUGUUAGGAAAAGAUUAGGCAAACAAUGGCUUACGGAGCCAAACAGGCCUCUUUUCAUGACAAGGAACUCCAACUUUGAACCAGAGAUAAGCAAAAUGGUCCUCUUUCAAAUCAGAAAUCCAUUCUUAUUAGUAAACAAGUAUUACAAAAAUAAGCACUCAGUAUUACAUAUUUAAUGUUACCAGUAAAAAGUAUGGAAAUUUGUUUUCUUGUUAUAUAAUAAUGUAUAAAACAUCCUUAAUUUUGCAUACUAGCCUGCAAAUUUACAUAUUUACUAAUUGGACCUUCCAGAAAAAGUUUGCUCCCCCUCCGUUGCCCUAUUCCAUGGUAUCAAAUUAAUUUCUAAAGAUCAUACAAGAUCUAUAUUGCCAAUUUAGCUGAUACAACAUCUCUGGGCCUUUAUCUUUUCUUCCUUCCCCUCACCAUUUAUUUCACUAUCUUAUUGGUCCACCAGUUGCUUAUGAAGCAGCCAAGGAUAAUUAAUGUUUUUAUAGCUCCCAAUGACACACUUGUUUCUAGGUUAGGACAAGAAACUCUGUGUCUACUAUUUAGGUUUAGAAACACUGCACUCAAACUCUCUGAAGGGAUUUUUAAUAUGAAGGUUGUGAACACCACUUUAAAGCACAUGACUGAGAACAACGUAAGUCAGACGAGACAGGCAAAAAGAGAGGAGACGGUAGACACAGCUGCAUACUGAAUGAAAAAAAAGUAAGAACUUGUAGGUUCAGUUCAUUUCUUUUAUCUUAAAUAGCAAAAAAUUGACCUUUAUUUUUCAUUUAAUUCAUAGUAGUAUCUAGAAAUCAGUAAUGGCAAAGAAGAUCAAUUAGGUCAUUUAGUCCCUCUCCGAGGUUCCAAUUUUCUCAUUCAGCAUAAUAACUUUGGCCUGUCCAAACUUAAGUGACGGAAGAGAUGGGUUUCCACAACUUAACUUGGGAGAUAUCUCUAAAUCAAAUUCAUCUGUACCAAAGCAUCAUUAAAGACUUGGCUAUUAGAAUUAUACUAAAUUGUUCUCUGCUUAAUUGCACCUCAUUUGUCCUUUAUUCCCCUUGGCUAGCCAAGCAAACUUUUUUUUUCUUUGACUAGAUUUAUCUUAGACCAGCUAGUCCACAUAUAUUAUUGAUAAAGACAAUGUCAUUAAUGGUUUCUGUUUGUUGGUUGUACUGCCACUUAAACAUUUGUUUUCCUUUGUUCAAGUUACUCUCAAAGGAAGACUACUCUGUAAUAAGUAGUACCACAUUUUAUAGAAAAUUUCUUACGUUCUCCAAAAACUCCAGUGGCUUAUGUGCAACCCUCUCUAACUUCAUUUAUCAACAUGCAGAAUGAUCAGCACCCAAUAGCUUGCUAUAAUAUGUACACUUUCUCACUGCUAUCCAUUUCCCCAUUAAUGCUCAUAUUUUGAUUUUCUGAAACCUCAGUCACAUUAAGCCUUUCUUUUUCUGCAAUAAAACAUGGCUCCCAUACCCCUCAUUGAUUAAGUCUAACUCCAGAACUUCUGAGGAUGCUAGUUUCAACAGCAUACUGUUCUCCUCUUCCUGACCAAUUGAUGGAUAUCCUGUAACACAAUCUUGAAUUAAAAAAAUGAGCUGAUUAAAGAAGUAUUAAGAAAAAUCCAUAUAUAUGACUAAGUCAAUCCAUCAGUGUUUUGUUCAGUAGGGUCAACUUUUUCUCCAUGUAGAAAAUACCACUGCCAGGAGAUAGUAAUGAACUACGACCUUGGAGAGUUUUGCAACAGGAACUAACGAGAAGGAAACACUCGCUAUUAGAGCAAAUAGACUCCUAAUCAACAUAUUAUCGAUCGUUCAUUUUUGUCAAGGUCAUUUUGUGCUUUAAAAAAUGAUCCCACAGUAAGGCUUUAAUAGGAAAAGUGGACUAAUUUGAUUUAAAGAGUAAAUGCUAUUAAUUAUGAAAGGCAGUCAAUAAAAAGCUUGUUCUUCCAAACAUAAA
This is a long non-coding RNA of Phyllostomus hastatus (greater spear-nosed bat), 6051 nucleotides long. RefSeq lists it as uncharacterized. The record is from RefSeq and is a predicted model, not a curated record. Lineage: Eukaryota; Metazoa; Chordata; Mammalia; Chiroptera; Phyllostomidae. The transcript has 3 exons.